AAUUAUGGUGGGACGUAGCGGGGGAGCCGAAAGGCUCGCCGGGUUCUCUAGUGCCGGUCUAUCAAUCCCGUUACGUCUCGCCACCCCG
RNAcentral lists this non-coding RNA (88 nucleotides) under Plautia stali symbiont. The record is from RNAcentral. Lineage: Bacteria; Pseudomonadati; Pseudomonadota; Gammaproteobacteria; Enterobacterales; Enterobacteriaceae.